This 460-nucleotide ribosomal RNA is filed under the name uncultured bacterium. Its description in RNAcentral is "partial 16S ribosomal RNA". It matches the Rfam family "Bacterial small subunit ribosomal RNA", at positions 338 to 795 of the family's 1533-position model. The record is from RNAcentral.
CCUACGGGUGGCAGCAGUGAGGAAUAUUGGUCAAUGGGCGAGAGCCUGAACCAGCCAAGCAGCGUGAAGGAUGAAUGCCCUACGGGUUGUAAACUUCUUUUAUCAGGGAAUAAACUGUGGCACGUGUGGGAUUUUGUAUGUACCCUAUGAAUAAGGAUCGGCUAACUCCGUGCCAGCAGCCGCGGUAAUACGGAGGAUCCGAGCGUUAUCCGGAUUUAUUGGGUUUAAAGGGAGCGGAGGUGGAUUGUUAAGUCAGUUGUGAAAGUUUGCGGCUCAACCGUAAAAUUUCAGUCGAAACUGGCAGUCUUGAGUUCAGUAGAGGUAGGCGGAAUUCGUGGUGUAGCGGUGAAAUGCUUAGAUAUCACGAAGAACUCCGAUUGCGAAGGCAGCUUACUGGACUGCCACUGACACUGAGGCACGAAAGUGUGGGUAUCAAACAGGAUUAGAUACCCCUGUAGUC